This 68-nucleotide transfer RNA is filed under the name Nabis apicalis. Its description in RNAcentral is "tRNA-Leu". The record is from RNAcentral. Lineage: Eukaryota; Metazoa; Arthropoda; Insecta; Hemiptera; Nabidae.
AUUGCUUUGACAGAAAUUUAAUGUAAUAAAUUUAGGAUUUAUAUAUGUGAUAUAUAUCACAAGCAAUA